AUGGCUCUUUUGUGCAAUGAAAGUGAACCCCCCCCCCCCAAAUCAACAUUGUUUGUGGCCAGGGUCUCCGCCGUCGGUGUCGGUGUCAUCUACGGCUCCGUCAAGCUCGAGCAGGCGAGGCGACCCAAUUUCCAGUUCUUAGUCUGUGUAAUUUCAAUAUAA
This 162-nucleotide ribosomal RNA is filed under the name Triticum aestivum (bread wheat). Its description in RNAcentral is "partial small subunit ribosomal RNA". Lineage: Eukaryota; Viridiplantae; Streptophyta; Magnoliopsida; Poales; Poaceae. The record is from RNAcentral.